Molecule: transfer RNA, 89 nt
Filed under: Thiothrix lacustris
Lineage: Bacteria; Pseudomonadati; Pseudomonadota; Gammaproteobacteria; Thiotrichales; Thiotrichaceae
Description: tRNA-Ser
Rfam family: tRNA
About the family: Transfer RNA (tRNA) molecules are approximately 80 nucleotides in length. Their secondary structure includes four short double-helical elements and three loops (D, anti-codon, and T loops).
Source: RNAcentral
GGAGAGCUGGCAGAGUGGUCGAAUGCGGCGGUCUUGAAAACCGUUGAGGGUUAAACCUCCGGGGGUUCGAAUCCCUCGCUCCUCCGCCA